RNAcentral lists this long non-coding RNA (1152 nucleotides) under Meleagris gallopavo (turkey). Its description in RNAcentral is "lncRNA (ENSMGAG00000021706.1)". Lineage: Eukaryota; Metazoa; Chordata; Aves; Galliformes; Phasianidae. The record is from RNAcentral.
AUGUCUUCCACAGUGAGGGUGGCGAGGCAGUGGAACAGGUUGCCAGAGACGUGGUGGAUGCGCUGCCUCUUUCAAGGCAAGGCUGGGUCAGACUCUGAGCAACCUGAUCCAGCUGUGGAUGUUCACUGUGGGGGAGUCAGACCGCAUCGCAAACCUACCUGCAUACAAGCAGUGCACCAACAUGGAGCUCAUAGUGUUCGUUACCUGCCGCACAGAUCUCACACCGCUGAUUGGAGGAGCACAGUCUGUCCCUGAUGCCAAUUGGUGACUGUAUGAAAACUGCUGAGUCAUGGCUCUGGUUGAUCACCUGAGGCAGCGAUGAGUCAGCACGAAGCACAGCUGAAGGCAAUCAACCGGUGCUGCCAGAAGGGCAGAAUCUGGCUCCGCCUCUCCUGGACCCAUUUAAAAACUGACCAGCAGUGGGGAACAAUCUUUUCUGGAAAUCUACUGUGAUGGAGUUUGAUAAUGAAGGCCAGCAUAUGGGUAAGUUUGCUACCUAUUCUCUUUUUGUAAUUAUAAUCUUCUUUGCCUGACUCUCUUGUUUAUAAUUGUAGCAUCUUAAUAUUAAUUGAUGAUAUGCUUGGCAAGUACAGCAGACCAAAUAUACUAGAAUUUAUAAUGUAUCUUUUCUUUGCAAUUUCUAUAAAUGGGUCAAUGGGGAAAACACUGCGCCCCUAGAUUAAAUGAUUCCUGGGCAGGUCCCAGGACUUCUGAAAUCUCACUGUUCUGAACUAACAGUUAUCACUGAAAAAUGAAGUCCCCUACCUGUUAUGGGAAAUAUUUUUUCCAACACUGUUUAAUAGAUUAGUUUCAUAAACUAAGCAAAGAUACAUUGAUCACAAAAGAAAGACAAUUGCCUGCCUCCACAGUGGCAUGACCACUAUUAAAUACUUUAAACCAUGCUGAAAUGAGGAAUAAUACUUUAGAGAAUGAAAACCAACUUUUGAAAAACAAAAUUGAAAAGUUAGAGAAAGAACUUGGCAUAUUAACAGGGAAGAACCCAAUUCUACAUCUUCUAAUAAGUAAAGUUUGUAACAUUUCAAUACACGAUAACCAGAAUCCUGAAUCAACAAACUUAGUUGACCAGGAAAAUAAAAAAAAUCUACAUGACAUCUCAAAUUUGCAAUUUCAACAGAUAUGCUAGAAAUCUGU